UACGAAGGGUGCAAACGUUGCUCGGAAUCAUUGGGCGUAAAGCGCACGUAGGCGGCUUCGCAAGUCGGAUGUGAAAUCCCUAGGCUCAACCAAGGACGUGCAUCCGAAACUGCAAAGCUUGAGUACAGAAGAGGAUCGCGGAAUUCCCGGUGUAGAGGUGAAAUUCGUAGAUAUCGGGAGGAACACCAGUGGCGAAGGCGGCGAUCUGGGCUGAUACUGACGCUGAGGUGCGAAAGCGUGGGGAGCAAACAGG
This 253-nucleotide ribosomal RNA is filed under the name uncultured bacterium. Its description in RNAcentral is "partial 16S ribosomal RNA". It matches the Rfam family "Bacterial small subunit ribosomal RNA", at positions 524 to 776 of the family's 1533-position model. The record is from RNAcentral.